Halichondria panicea is the source of this 2177-nucleotide long non-coding RNA. RefSeq lists it as uncharacterized. The transcript is spliced from 5 exons. Lineage: Eukaryota; Metazoa; Porifera; Demospongiae; Suberitida; Halichondriidae. The record is from RefSeq and is a predicted model, not a curated record.
CAACAACAUGUUUGGAUCUAUAAUACAGGGUUUUGGGAUUUUUUGUUGGCCUAUACUAUGUACACAUUCCUAUAUUAAAUGUAUAUUCAUAGCCCACAUGCAGUAGUCUAAUUCCCUGGUUGUUCCCCCAACAACAUGUUUGGAUGCUAUAAUAGCUUGAGAAGUGUAACCAUGGAAGCCUAAUAAUAGCUAGUACAUGCAUGCAUGAUUUUAUCACAACAUGCAUGCAGUACACUGGUAAAUAGUUAAAUGUGCGUACAGUAAGGGAUACCCCUCUCACGUGUAGACUCCGAUAACAACUCCACUGGGAGUAGUGAGCGUCACCAUGCAUGUAUAUAUAGUAUGAUGUUUGCUUGAGAGAUGUUAUGGCUCCUUGGAUAUGAUCACAGCGAUACAAUGUUCCUUAAGAGCUAGCGACAUUUAAUGUCUCUUAUCUCUAUUUUCUGGCUUGAUUGUAUAUAAUUUUUAGUGCAGCUUUGAUUGGUGUCCUAUAGCUUGCUGGUGAUCGAUUUACACUGUGUUAUGAGUUGCAGGUUGCCUGCAUGUAAAGACUACUCUAUGUCUAACCACAAACGGCCACAACUAUAUAGCUGAACACAUACAUGCACGUACCUAACCCCUAAGCCACCGGCAUAACCAUGCUCUCCUCACACAGGCUGCCUAUAAUGAUACCCUAAUCACAUACCGAUGCUUUUCUCACACAGGCUCUACUAUAUAGAGAGUGCUGUAUAGAGAGGGUGCUGGAGGGAAAUUUCCUACCUCUGGUAGUCUUGGCUAACAAACCUUAGACACUAGUUGAUAAGAUCUACAUGGGAAGUACAUGGGAAAAGUGCCUCAGAGCAGGUAUACUAUGGGACUUAGUAUACCUGCAAAUUUACUUAGUAUAUCUAGUAUUCCGUUGUCAAGUAAUUGUAUUGUAGUCAAGCAGUUUGCGCAUGCGCACUAGUAUCUAAAUGAGUUAGACACUGUUUUGUCGGUGUCCAUGUGAUUUAGAAGCCCUCAGCCACUUUAGUACCCUCGCUACGCUCGGGAUACUAAAUCAGUGCCUUUGGGCUUCUAAAUCCCAUAGACACCUCCAAAACAGUGUCUAACUAUUAUGUAAUACAUCAACCUGGCUAAUAUAUGUGAUCACCAAGUUGAUGGUGUCCUGUUCUGCCAGACAAGGCAGCUAGACAGAAGGAGUGUGUCCCUGCUAACGAGACUGCCAUUUCUUCACUGCCGAUGGUCGUCACAAGCUCUACUCUGCUUACUGCACACAGUGUCUCACGGUAGAGUGAUGCAUGGGGCUAUACUGUUGGUACACAGUGUCAAGAAUGAAGUGGACACAGCUCUAAAAGUGACAGGGACUACUUUUUUGUAAUGUCCGACUUUUAAAAUUAUACACAUCCUAGCUCUUUAUCAUAAUUACGUGAUGCACUUACAAUCAGUACGAAUAAUGCUUUUACAACUGACUUGUGUGUGCAUUUUUCCUAGCUAAACUUUGUACCCUCAUGAAUUGAUUGCAUGUCUCAUGCAGGGAGCCUGCCUCAAUGUUCACAGCCAGUCCCUUCCUUGUAUGGGGAGAGUUUGGGUCCAAUACUCAACAAGAUAUUCACCCUCUCACCUGACACACAACUCAUGUAGGAAAUGGACAGGUGGAGCACAUAAAUUAUUCUUACCAGAGUGACGAUGAUAAUUUAUGGUCCCUAUAUAGGGUUGAUAGCCGCCUUGAACUUUUCUGAGAUACCUACAUAUAAUUAUACUGAUAAGAGAUACACAAGAGAAAAACAAGCUGUAACGCUCAAUUAAUUAAUGUGUAUAACUGGUGUGGGGUAUCCGGUCACACUAGCUUUGUGGCCCCAGUCAGACAACUACUUACCAGCACUAGCACUAAGAUGGUGUGUCGACAAGAAAUGGAGGUUGCACUGAGAGAGGAAAAAAGUCAAAAGGCAAUUGCAAAAGACAGGCCAGAGGUGUGUGUAGGGGAGACACUACCCAAGCUGUCAGAGAAGGAAGAGCUACAUGCAGGCUAGAGAUGCUGGAGGUGGCAGGUAACCACAUGGACACGUUGGAGAGUAUACUAAGAGUCAGAGUGGUGAACACAUCUCUAUAAUAAUAAUAUUAUCUACUUAUUAUUGCUGCUUGGAUGUACAAACUGGAAUCGUGAUUCACCAUAAUUAUUUAGAACUUCUCACGAC